This 118-nucleotide ribosomal RNA is filed under the name Danio rerio (zebrafish). Lineage: Eukaryota; Metazoa; Chordata; Actinopteri; Cypriniformes; Danionidae. The record is from RNAcentral.
AGUAGCUGCCAGCUAGCUCUCUGCAACUCUCACAUGGUCGCCUGCUGAAGCUAAGCAGGGCUGCGCCUGGUCAGUACCUGGAUACGAGACCACAUGGGAAGCUAGUUUGCUGCUGGAA